Molecule: ribosomal RNA, 405 nt
Filed under: uncultured Glomeromycotina
Lineage: Eukaryota; Fungi; Glomeromycota
Description: SSU rRNA
Rfam family: Eukaryotic small subunit ribosomal RNA
Source: RNAcentral
UCGGUUUCUCCCUUCUGACGAACCAUGAUGUCAUUUAUUUGGUGUUGUGGGGAAUCAGGACUGUUACUUUGAAAAAAUUAGAGUGUUUAAAGCAGGCUCACGCUUGAAUACAUUAGCAUGGAAUAAUGAAAUAGGACGUUUGAUUCUAUUUUGUUGGUUUCUAGGAUCGACGUAAUGAUUAAUAGGGAUAGUUGGGGGCAUUAGUAUUCAAUUGUCAGAGGUGAAAUUCUUGGAUUUAUUGAAGACUAACAACUGCGAAAGCAUUUGCCAAGGAUGUUUUCAUUAAUCAAGAACGAAAGUUAGGGGAUCGAAGACGAUCAGAUACCGUCGUAGUCUUAACCAUAAACUAUGCCGACUAGGGAUCGGAUGAUGUUAAUUUUUUAAUGACUCAUUCGGCGCCUUACG